AAUCAACGCUGGCGGCGUGCCUCAGACAUGCAAGUCGAACGAUUAAAGCUCUCUUCGGAGAGUGCAUAGAGUGGCGCACGGGUGAGUAACACGUAAGUAAUCUACCCUCGAGUGGGGAAUAACGUCCGGAAACGGACGCUAAUACCGCAUAAUGCAGCGGCACCGCAAGGUGACAGUUGUUAAAGAUUUAUCGCUUGAGGAGGAGCUUGCGGCAGAUUAGCUAGUUGGUAAGGUAAUGGCUUACCAAGGCUACGAUCUGUAUCCGGUCUAAGAGGACGGUCGGACACACUGACACUGAAUAACGGGUCAGACUCCUACGGGAGGCAGCAGUCGGGAAUUUUGGGCAAUGGGCGAAAGCCUGACCCAGCAACGCCGCGUGAAGGAUGAAGUAUUUCGGUAUGUAAACUUCGAAAGAAUAGGAAGAAUAAAUGACGGUACUAUUUAUAAGGUCCGGCUAACUACGUG
RNAcentral lists this ribosomal RNA (465 nucleotides) under uncultured bacterium. Its description in RNAcentral is "bacterial SSU rRNA". It matches the Rfam family "Bacterial small subunit ribosomal RNA", at positions 32 to 507 of the family's 1533-position model. The record is from RNAcentral.